GAGCUCAAAUUUGAAAGCUGGUACCUUCGGUAUCCGCGUUGUAACCUCGAGACACGUUUUCCGUGCGGCGCUAUGGACAAGUUCCUUGGAACAGGACAUCGUAGAGGGUGAAAAUCCCGUACUUGCCAUGGAUGUACCGUGCUUUGCGAUACGUGCUCUAAGAGUCGAGUUGUUUGGGAUUGCAGCUCAAAAUGGGUGGUAGACUCCAUCUAAAGCUAAAUAUCGGGGAGAGACCGAUAGCGAACAAGUACCGUGAGGGAAAGAUGAAAAGCACUUUGGAAAGAGAGUUAAAAGUACGUGAAAUUGUCGAAAGGGAAGCGCUUGAAGUCAGCCAUGCCGCUCAGGACUCAGCCUGGCUUUUGCUUGGUGUAUUUCCUGGGUAGCAAGUCAGCAUUGGUUUGGAUCGUCGGAGAAGCAUAGUCGGAAUGUGGCGCCCUCGGGCGUGUUAUAGCCUUCUAUUGGAUACGACGAUCUAGACCAAGGAACGCAGCGCGCCUUAUGGCGGGUCUUCG
This 512-nucleotide ribosomal RNA is filed under the name Malassezia furfur. RNAcentral describes it as "eukaryotic LSU rRNA". It matches the Rfam family "Eukaryotic large subunit ribosomal RNA", at positions 104 to 620 of the family's 3401-position model. The record is from RNAcentral. Lineage: Eukaryota; Fungi; Basidiomycota; Malasseziomycetes; Malasseziales; Malasseziaceae.